UCUGUGUAAUUUUUUGAACAAGUGAACGUACAAUCUUUGAAUUACUAUAAUCAAUGUAUUUAAUAGUGAUAGCUGCAGUACGUACCAAAAAUGAAGCGAUCGAGACUCUUGUUUGGUAGGAAUUCAUAAACAAGAAGGCUUUCAGAAAUCUGCUGCUCUAUGUCUGUUAUCAAAGAAGAAUCUCUUGACAGCAAUCUCUCUUCCAUCGGAUAGGGUACCCUGUGAGGAAUGAGAAUGAAAAAUGAACGGAUUGUUUUCGGUUAAAAUUGAAGAUUGUAGGUCCUGCUCAGAUAGAGAGGAAGAAUAACUACCUUAUAAACAGAGCCAAACCCCCCCUGUCCAAUCUUGUUAUCUAGGCUGAAAUUGUUUGUUGCUUUUUCAAGGGUUGAGUACUUGAAUUCCAAGUUACUAUCUUGAAGAGUUUUUGCCAACUUCUUCACAUCAGUUGAACCUCCUGAAGUGUAAAUUAUAUCAUUUUAAGAGAAGAAUGUCAAUAAAUCUCCCUCGAAGAGUUCCUCACCAUGAAA
Long non-coding RNA from Cucumis sativus (cucumber), 527 nucleotides. RefSeq lists it as uncharacterized. NCBI's taxonomy places the organism in Eukaryota, Viridiplantae, Streptophyta, Magnoliopsida, Cucurbitales, Cucurbitaceae. The transcript is spliced from 2 exons. The record is from RefSeq and is a predicted model, not a curated record.